AUGGUGGUAACGGGUAACGGGGAAUUAGGGUUCGAUUCCGGAGAGGGAGCCUGAGAAACGGCUACCACAUCCAAGGAAGGCAGCAGGCGCGCAAAUUACCCAAUCCCGACACGGGGAGGUAGUGACAGUAAAUAACAAUACGGGGCUCUUUCGGGUCUCGUAAUUGGAAUGAGUACAAUUUAAAUCCCUUAACGAGGAACAAUUGGAGGGCAAGUCUGGUGCCAGCAGCCGCGGUAAUUCCAGCUCCAAUAGCGUAUAUUAAAGUUGUUGCAGUUAAAAAGCUCGUAGUUGAAUUUCGGGAUUGACACAUCGGUCGUGCCUUAAGGGGUAUGAACUGGUGUAGUCAAUUUCUCACCUUCUGGAGAACCGCAAUGCCCUUAAUUGGGUGUCGCGGGGAACCAGGACCUUUACUUUGAAAAAAUUAGAGUGUUUAAAGCAGGCAUUUUGCUUGAAUACAUUAGCAUGGAAUAAUGAAAUAGGACAUCCGAUUCUAUUUUGUUGGUUUCUAGGAUCGAUGUAAUGAUUAAUAGGGAUAGUUGGGGGCAUUAGUAUUCAAUUGUCAGAGGUGAAAUUCUUGGAUUUAUUGAAGACUAACUACUGCGAAAGCAUUUGCCAAGGAUGUUUUCAUUAAUCAAGAACGAAAGUUAGGGGAUCGAAGACGAUCAGAUACCGUCGUAGUCUUAACCAUAAACUAUGCCGA
This 700-nucleotide ribosomal RNA is filed under the name uncultured Glomeromycotina. RNAcentral describes it as "SSU rRNA". It matches the Rfam family "Eukaryotic small subunit ribosomal RNA", at positions 346 to 1045 of the family's 1831-position model. The record is from RNAcentral. Lineage: Eukaryota; Fungi; Glomeromycota.